AGCCUUAUGUACUUAAUAUUAGGUGAUUUCUGCCCACUGAUUUUUUAACGGCCGCAGUACCCUGACUGUGCUAAGGUAGCAUAAUAAGUUGGCUUUUAAUUGGAGUCUAGUAUGAACGGGAUAAUGGGGGGGUUCUAUCUAUGGGGGAUUUUAUUUAACUUAUUAAUUAGGUGAAAAUACCUUUAAAUUAGAUUAAAGACGAGAAGACCCUUAGAAUUUUAAUUAGUGUAAUUUAUUAUUAUUUUUUUUUGUUGGGGUGACAAAGUAGAAGGUAUAAACCUACUCUAUUUUAAUUUGCCGGGUAAACCAUGAUAGGAGAAAUUACCUUAGGGAUAACAGCAUAAUUUUUCUUUUAGAUUGUGACCUCGAUGUUGGACUAGGAACUCUAUGAUAAGCAGUUAAAAGAGAUGGUUCUGUUCGAACUUAAACUCCU
This 433-nucleotide ribosomal RNA is filed under the name Tayloria sp. 'Pare'. RNAcentral's name for it is "partial 16S ribosomal RNA". It matches the Rfam family "Bacterial large subunit ribosomal RNA", at positions 1817 to 2596 of the family's 2925-position model. Lineage: Eukaryota; Metazoa; Mollusca; Gastropoda; Stylommatophora; Streptaxidae. The record is from RNAcentral.